CCAAACAAAGAGCAAAGGAAGAACAAAGGGAAAAAAGAAAAACAAGAACCCUAGGUGGAAAAAUUCAAAGGAAAAUUGGUGGAUUUCAAGGAAUCAAGCAAUCAAAGGUAAAAUUUCUUGAUUUUGACUUGUGAUCUACCUUUCCCAUGCAUUUCUCCUUAUUUUUCAUGGUUAAAUUUCAUGUUUUCAUGGUGAAUUCAUGGCUGCCCAAAUGGGUAUGGAGAGAGAAUGAAGUUAGAUUGAUUUGAUUUUAAGUUAUGUUAGUGUUUUUAGUUAGUUUAGCAUAUUUAGAAACAAAACAACAAGAAAAGAAUUCAUUUUCCCCCAUCACCAUCAUUGGCCGAAUUUUCUAGGGAGGAUAUUGUAGUUGAAAUUGAUGAUAUGUCAUGAUAUUUGGGUGAUAUUUGACGUUUGGUGAGGCUAGAAAUUUAAUGGGAAAUUUUAGUGUGAAAAUAUGAAUUUUUACCUAAUGUAUAGACAUGUGUGAUUAUUGACUCGGGACUGAUAAAUUGAAUCUCAUUCACAAUCACUAAGGUAAUUUAGGUAUAAUUGGAGUGUAGAAAGUGAGAAGAAUUGAUUUGGAGUUAAAUUGGAGAUUUUAACCGAUUAGACCGAUUAUAGUGUGACUUAGGUCGAAUAUCACAUUUAAGUGAUUAAUCAGACAUUUUGCAUCCCAUUGCAUGCAUUCAUUUAGAUUUAGCGAGCCUGAAAUAGUUUAUGAUAAAUUAACACAAUUUAUUGAAAUUCGUGUCACAUAUGAUGUUAGGUGGUGAGCCCUCUAACAAGGGUGGAGAGAUUGUGCCCGAGGAGUAUAUCGAACUCCUAGUACUGUGAGUAACCUUACCUUCAUUUUUAUUAUCUAAAGUAUGUUUUUAAUCGACUUUGGUGAAAUUUUAUGAAAAAGGAGUUUAAAUGGUAAAUCUUUGUGUUUUACAAACAAAAUGUAUUUACAUGAAAGGAUUUUAUAAAGUGUCUUGAAAUCGAAUAAUGAUUUUAAAAAAUAGAGUAAUUGGAGACCACUUGUUAUAUUGUAAAUUUAUGAUUUGAAAUCAAAUGGCUUAUGACAAUAUUUGCAUGAAUGGCUGAAUUGAUAUUUGUGUUGAAAUGUAUGAAAUUUGUAUUUAGCCUUGAAAGGCUGUGAAUUACAAUAAUUGCCAUAUCAUGUUAUUGAAUUUUAUUGUAUGGUGGGUUUAGCUUGCUGCAGUGGGCAGAUUCUGUGGACCAGCCUAUUAGAGGGGCACAGAAUCCAAAUAUAUAUAUGUACCUCGGUCGGAGAGACGCGUAAGGUAUCUCUUGAGGUAUGGACAGAGUUCGCGUCACGCCGAACCACCUCAUGAUGAGGAACUCAGCUAACGCCAAGGAAUGACUGUGUUUUUCAAACUAAAAAUAUGUUUUACGUGUAUACGAAACUUUUUAACAACCUUGGUGGGCUCAAGUGUACGCCUCUGAUCAAGGUGUCAUCGAGUACUAUUUGAUCGAUGUUUAUGAAAGUCAUAAGCCUUAAUGAGAAAUUAAAUGAAAUACAACCGUUUGCAUGGGUUGGGAUGAAUUUUCAAAUUAUGAAAUACUUAAAAUGAUGGGAAAUUUUAAUUGUCUCCUUUUACUCGGCUUUAGCUGAUUUAAAUGAUGUUUGUUUACUCACUGGGAUUUUAUAAUCUCACCACCCUCAUUUUCACCCAUUUCAGGCUCAGAGUAGGCUGUAGAUAGCUGAUUCCAUCAAUGGCUUUUAUUGGAUUAGCGUCCUCCACACAGUAGGUUCACAGUUUCUUUAAUUCUGGUUAUUAUGGGCCCACUUGAUAUUGUAAAUUUAAUAGUUUAUUGUGCUACAAUAUGAUGAAUUUAUUUUUUUUUUUACAUUACAAAAAGUAUUUACACAUAACUCCAAAAUUUCUGUUCAUAAGAAAAUAAAAUAUUUUAUGGAAUAUUUUGUUUUAUCUUCUUAUUAUAUUCAAAUAAUUAUAAUUUUAUUUUAAAUAAAGGUUUUAGAUGCCUAAACUUAUUUUUAAUUGUGAAUUAUGCGAUUGGUACUUGUUUACUACAUUUUUAACUGGUUUCGUAAUUUUCAGUGGAAAAUGACCAAAAUGCCCCUAUGAGACAAUUUUUUUUUAUCAGUUUUAAGUUGGAAAUAGCUCAAAAUCCUUUAGAACAUAAUAUUUGGCAACAGUUACUCACCGGGGGAAAUGAGAAACUGAUGUUAAGCCUUGUAGGGUUUCGGUUGGCAUUUCGGGAGAUGAGUACCUAUCGGGGCACUGCGGCUGUUGUCACGGGCUUGAGGGGAGUUUCGGGUCGUGACAUUAUUCCUCCAACCAGGAUUGCAAGUGUUGAAAUAUAAAUUAUUCUGUUACCUAUUAAAAUUUCCAAUGAACUAUGCAGAUUCAGCAGUAAUGGGACACUGAUCAUUGGGAUGCCUAUCUCCACAUAACUCACAUGUUGAAAAAGGACUUUGAAUAACAUUAACACCCAACGUAUCAAUUUUCUUAGUGAUAGUAGCCAAUUGUGCUGUCAAUGUAUUAAUUGCAUCAAGCUCAUGAAUACUAACAACUUUUGUUGGACCAAAUCUCUCGUAUGGCAAUUGAUAAUUGUUGGAAGCCAUCUC
RNAcentral lists this long non-coding RNA (2596 nucleotides) under Theobroma cacao (cacao). Its description in RNAcentral is "long non-coding RNA (TCAC_LNC003379)". Lineage: Eukaryota; Viridiplantae; Streptophyta; Magnoliopsida; Malvales; Malvaceae. The record is from RNAcentral.